RNAcentral lists this long non-coding RNA (3771 nucleotides) under Nicotiana tabacum (common tobacco). RNAcentral's name for it is "long non-coding RNA (NTAB_LNC010910)". Lineage: Eukaryota; Viridiplantae; Streptophyta; Magnoliopsida; Solanales; Solanaceae. The record is from RNAcentral.
CUUAAACCUCAAAUUGAAGAAGAACCAAAACGCUUCACGUACCCAACUGCUUAUACACGCACCACUUCGAAAAAAACAUUCUAUAAAUUUUCAACCCCGUUUUCCCUGUUCAACUUCCCACAGACUUCUAACUUUGUUAUUUUAUUUCUAUAAACUCAACUUAUUUGCCUUCUUUGUCUAUUUCUUCUUUCUCUAUGCUUACACAAAUUCCGUUUCCUUUGACGCCAAUGAAGACAUCCGAAGAACACCAUCACCCGACCACUGUUUCAGGUAUUCACUCCAUAAUUGUCGGACUGUAAUUCGUUCAAGGACAAUGUCUUUAAAUGCAGAUUAUAUUUGUACUGCUUAACUCUUUUGUGUUUCGAUAGAUUAGUAUCAUUAAAUAUAGUAUUGCAAUAUUACCACUAUUAUACUUUUCCUGCUCUACCUUCUUAUGUUAUGCUUGAAGAUCAAUACAUGCAUUUAACACAUGAGUUGUAGAAAAGGAAAUAGGUGAAAGAAAGGAAAUGUAAGAAGUAAAAUCAUUCUCUGGGUAACUACAUCCCUAUGAGACUAUUUUAAGGAGUCUGCUCCUUAAUCAAUUCAUUUAUCAGACUGUGAAUUAAGUAUAUUUGUCUUUUGUCAUUUUAAUUGAGGAAUUAAAUACGUGCAUUCGACACUGCAUAUGACCUUUCACUGUUUUGGGGAAGUAGCUUGAAACUGGUUUGAGGCGAACUAAUAUAUAUACACAUCACCACUGUAUACUUCAAAUCAUUGCAAAGCCUGUUUGAGCUGCCUGAUGACUUCUUCUAUUGCAGGCGUUUAUAUUGGUUUUUUCCGACCUUGCACUCCAGUCGUUAGAGCCAAUAUGUCCGAGAAUGUUGAUUUCGGUGAAAUUUUUUCCUGCUGUUUUUCUUCUUCGGAUUUUACAUUGUUUAUCCUGAGAUUGAAAUUUAUGUAUUAACAAAAAAGUGUGAAAAAAGAAGCAAAAAUGAAAAUAACAUCUGAAAUUGGUGUUUGCAACAUAUAUAAGUUUUAUAAUUAUAUUGAAGUAUGCUUAGUAUGUUAAAAGUGACAUAAUUUUUUUUGUUUCCAUUGUGUUUAUACUUGCCUGUAACCUGAGGUAUAUGGAGAUUCUUGGUCAAACUCCAUGUUGAAAUUGUACUUAUAUGGUCGUCGCACAAAGGAACAAGCAAAGUGAAAGAAAAGAGAGGACGAACACUCUUCCCACUUUCCUUCUCCGAGGGAAAAAAUAUAUUGUGCCCAACUCUAAUUGAUAUUGUUCUUUAUUCAUGAAACUUAUAUAAUUAUUUGAAUCUAAGAGAUAUAUUUCUACGUCUCAUAUUCUUGAUUUUUCUUCAUCUUUAGGUUGAUAUGUAGCAAUAAAGUUUGUAUCUUUUGGUCAUUUUAUUGUCCAUUUUGUAAGAUUUACUUAAUCUUGAAUGUGUUCACUUAAUAAAACUUUCAUCUAACAUUUAUGCAUGGAUAAAAUGUCCAGUCAAUUUUUCAUGGACACAUAACGAGAUAACGAUGUUGCUUUUUUCAUUUGGAUAUGUAAUGAGGUAAAAUGUUACCUUUCUCACACGGAUACAUAGUGAAGCAAAGAUGGUGCCUUUCUCAUUUCAGAUUGAGAUGGGAACUCUUGAAAUGGAUUGGAGUAAUAUUUGAACAUUUUGAAUAUUCAUUUUCAGUAAAAGAGCAGACACUUGGACGUUUAUCUUUGUUAGCACUUUUUUUUCUCGGAAUUUGUUUUGUUGGAUUUUGGAUUAUGCUAGUAGACUUUAUUUUGUAGAUACCAUGAGAACGGCGGGCUAUUCUGAUAUCAUUGUUUUAAUAGACGUCGAAAGGUGGUGGUGCUAGCAGCAAGUAUUCCAGUUGUUUAUACAAGAGAUGAUCCUGGAUAACGUCGUGGUUAUAUGUUGUGACAAAUUAAAACUUAAUUAAUCAUCUCAUCAUUUUUUCAUCAUUCGCUUACAACUUAGAUAUCAUGAGUUUUUAUCGAAGUAGCAUCACAAAUGUUAUUUAUUAUAUAUUUUUUGUCCUUUUUUUGCCUUUUUCACUCUAUAUUUUGCCCCUUUAAAGAUUUUUGGUUCUUUUGUUUUCCUUUUAACCUUCUUAAAGUCUUCCACAUAGUGAUUGUCAAAACUUUAAACUGAAAGAGGCAAUUAAGUAUUUUGGUCUUUUGCUCAACUAUAUUUUAUUUUUAAUUCUUUUCAGUUUUUGGUGUGUGUCCGAUGCCUCUUCAUUUUUAUUAGCCUAUUUUCUGUCCAUCCUACAUCCUUUUGUUUUCUUCUUUGUUUUCUUCUCAGUGUGUAUUUUGAUGGAAUCAUAAGAUAUUGAAUUUUGUGAGAUAAACUUUGAGAUGUAUUUACAUUGGGAGCAUAUUAUUUAUCUAUGCGAAUGGUAAUUCUUAUAUGUUCUUGAAUAUGGUAUGAUCAGUAAGUGCUCCGCUUCAGUUGGAAUUAGUGUAAGUAUGAUGUAGUCCUUUUAGUUUUUGUUGUUCAAUUAGUUUUGAUUGUUAUUUAACUAUUUCAUGAGCAUUAGAACUAGUAUCGAUUUUUUUUUUCAAAACGACUAUUUCCUAUUGUUGUUUUAGAUUUAUUGGAGAAACUUUGCUGUUGUUAUUUAUAGAAAUACAGAAGGACCAAGUUUUAAGUAUGGCGAGCAUUUGGCAUCAAACACGUAAGUUAUGCAUCUAAACCUUUUUAUAUGUGCUUAUGUGACAUAAGUUUCCUUCUUCUUUUUUUCCCUGAAAUAUUUGAACACUUCUAUAAAAUGGAAAUAUUCAUGCAUCAUUAUGGAUCUGUUUUAGAAUUUCUGCUCUUCCACUAUCUUGAUUCGUUGAGUUUAGUUUCUGCAUAUGUAUUAUGCUUAUAGGUUUAUGACUUUGCUCUUCCUAAUUCUCAUUAUAGUGUUGUUACUAUCUGUAGCACCAUUAUGAAAACAUAUUUUCUUACUAGCUUCUAAGAAUUUUUAGUGGUGACAGACUUCAUUUUCUCAGUGGUCUCUACAAUUGUCUCUCUUCCUGUGCUCGGUAAAUUACUACUAUUAUGUUAAGGCUAAGAUGUCAAGGUUCUUCCUUCCCAAUUUCUACUUUAGAUGUGUAGAGAAUAUUAAAUUUUAUCUUGGCUUAGGAAUUUUUUACAGUGAGUAUAUAUACACGUUUUAUUUAAACCAUUUCUCCCAUAUUUAAUCUAUUGAUUGUGUGAAUUCUAGCGAAAUGUCAUGGCAUUUUGUCUUGAUAAUAUAUUACUAUAUACCAACCAUGUCAUUUUGGUCAUUCAAAUUUAGGUGCUAUUGGAAUUUCGGACUCAAAUCUGUUUGUGAGGAGGGUUUAUAGAAGCAUCAAAUGCAACUAUCUUUUGAUGGAGAAGAUAAAAGCAUGACUCUGCUGGUCCAUUUGGGUGAUAUUGGAGGUGAGGCCAAGAAAAAUCUCAUGAACCAAUUAUCAUUGUGGGUGUCCAAUGGGUUUAAUUAUGGUAGCCACUUCUGCUCGAAUUUUGGGAAGCCCUGAAUUUCUUUUUUGUCUGUGAAGAAGAUCAUUUAUUUCCUUUAUACUUAUAUUAGAAUGAAAGAGAAUUUAAAUGAUUUAAUGCUAGCUUAAUAAGAGUUUCAAAUGUAAUGUGGUUACCCUCCAAUACUAGAGAAUGAGGUGCCUUGAGAUGAAGUUGCUGGUGCCACAUGCUUGAUUUGUGUUGUGUAAAUCUUUAUUGUUAUAAAUGUUAUGACUAUAAAUUUUAUUAUUAAUAAAGUUCUGAGACAUGCUCAUUUCUGCUUAUGGUUCUUGCUUAA